GUUUAUGUUUUUUUUAAUUCCAUUAACAUUGAGAAGAACAAAUAAGCAAAUAUUCAUUCUAAUAAAUAUUAAUGUAGCCUAAUGAAGUUUGGGUAAUUAUAAAAGCCCCUUUCAUAUUAUCCUACUAUAGGUCUGAACACAUAAAAGAUGGCACCAAAGAGAGGCAUCUAUGGCAGGUGGAGGAUUUCAAUGAAGACACCCCUCUAUGUGUAAAGAAAAGAAUGGUCCUUGCUUGUCAGCAUGGCAGAGCUCGACAGAAAAAAGAAAAGGAGAAACGUUCAGCAGAGCAUGUAUACACAAAAAAACGUUUUCAUGUCCAAAAUGGGAAGAAGUUGGACUGCCCAGCUAAACUUUUCAUUCGGCAUGUGCUGAGAUAUGACUCAUUCAGUGUGAGAGGGGAUGCCACAAAAUCCCAUAAAGAAGACACUAUGAGAAAUCUUAAGAUAGCACUUCAAAACUCAGAAAACCCACCAACCUCUACAUUCAUUCAUCUAAAAAUUCCUCUAUUGGAAGUUCACAAUCAUACAAUUGGAGCAGGAUCCUGUUUUUCAAGACCGAUCCAUCCAAAACUAAAAAAUCAAAUUCAGGUGAUGGUCGGACAAGGGAUAACUAAUAUAGCUUUCGUGAAGAGAGCCUUGAAGCAGUAUGUGCUAAAUGACUUGUGUGGAGAGGAUCUCCAGCGGCCGCACAACAACGAUGAAGCAUAUUUUCCAUCGAACACAACUAUCCAGAAUCACAUUCACAUGGCAUUAGUGGCUGGUCGUUACUCUGCGCUGGAUCAGGAGAAUCUUGCAAAGAAAGUGGCAGAAUGGAAGGUUGAAGAUGAGGGCAAUCGUUUAUUCUUUAGGAAAUGCACAAAUGGAGGAGAUGAAGAUCUAGAGCAUCAGUUUCUUUUCAUACAUCAGCACCACAAACAAAUACGGCUCCUGCAGCGAUAUGGGGAAAUGGUUCUUUUGGAUGCCACAUACAAAACCUCAAAAUAUUCCAUGCCACUGUUUUUUUUGGUUGUUCGAACCAAUGUUGGCUACAAACCUGUAGCAGAGUUUGUAUGUGAGAGUGAAACUACAAAGUCCAUUGCAGAAGCACUGGACAUCUU
Long non-coding RNA from Gadus macrocephalus (Pacific cod), 1096 nucleotides. RefSeq lists it as uncharacterized. The transcript is spliced from 3 exons. Lineage: Eukaryota; Metazoa; Chordata; Actinopteri; Gadiformes; Gadidae. The record is from RefSeq and is a predicted model, not a curated record.